UCUUAAAUAGCUCCCCCAUAAUACAAUGGCUGUCAGUCCUGCAGAUCAAACAGAACACUACAAUCCUCCUAAUUAAUUUUUUCUACAUCUGAUCUUUAAAAAGUUGUUUUAAAGUUAUUUCUGGAACUUUUCUAAAAACCAACAUAAAAGUUCUUCACCUACAUUUGCUUAAUUAAAUGUAGAAAAGCAAAAAAAAAAUGUAAAUUUUUGCUUUUAAAGUCUUAAAUGCCCUGACUCCUAUUUACCUGUCAGACCUUCUACACCCAUACACUCCACAAAAGUCUCUCAGAUCAACUGACCAGUCACUCCUUGCUGUCCCCAUGUCGAGACUGAAACACUGGGGGGACCGAGCUUUAGCUUUUGUGGCCCCCAAUUUAUGGAAUAAGCUGCCCCUCCAUAUUAGGCUGGCCCCAAGACUUGAAAUAUUUACAUUUCUUUUAAAAAUGUACCUUUUCUCCAAGGUGUUUUAGGAGUCAGCAUGUAGUAAGUUUUAGUUCGCUUUUGCCUGCUCUCAAUCUUUUUUACUUUGUUAAUUUUAUUUAUUGUAUAAAUAAAAUACUCAUGUUGUAUUUUAAUCAUUUGAAUAUUGACUGAUGUUUUCAUUUAUGUAUUUAUUUUAUUGUUAUUUAACUUUCUUUGUCUGUUUAAUGUAUGGUUUUUAAACUUUUAUCUCUGUUUCUUAUUGGAAAGCACUUUUGUCAACCAUGUUGUUUUUAAAAUCCUCUAUAAAUAAAGUUGGAUUGGAUUAAUUAAUCAGACAUUUGUAGAAACAGUGACAAACAGAUGAAAAGUCCAUCAUGACGUUGUGACAAAGUGGAUGAGCAGUUGCAAUGGUCUCCAUUUGUCCCUUAAGUGUUUACUUUUUUUUUUUUUUUUUUUUUUGCACAUUGUACACAUUAUUCUGUUUCUAUUUAUUUGCUAUGAUUUGCUAUUUGUCAAGUAACAUUGCUUCACUCACUAUCCCGGGUUUGUCAUAAACUGUUUUAGUCGCUGAGGUUCCAUCAACAGCAUCACUGCUGAUGUUUUUCAGCAGCAGAGGAGAUCUGUGGUGUGGUUGGCAGGGCUGGCAUGUGCCUGAAGCCUGGAGGAGACGACAUCAGCUGUGUCACCACUGGGGGGCGCUGUUGGUGGUGGGAAUAUGGGAAAUCCACUUCAGCAUAAUCAACUCCAUUCAUGUCAUCGUUAGUCUGACAUCAAACUUCAGACUCUAAAUUAAAUGAUAAAGUUCCCCUCAGGGUGUUGAUGAAGCAGAAAUGAACAAAAUAAUGAAAAUAUCCAAAACACUAAAGCAAAACAAAUCAACUGUACCACAAAUAACAAUAAUCAUCGUCUCUAAAAAUAAUACUUAAUAACAAAUGAAAGAUUUUAUUAUUGGACUGUUUUUAUCUAGCUGUACCUAAUAAACUGGGACCAGAGAGUCCACAUUGACUUUAUGCAUUCCUCAUCAUUAAUAUUAGCUGGCAGAAAGAGAUGAUAUAGUAAAAAUCAAAGAGCUUAAAAUCAGACCACAGUUUUACUUUGUUGUGAGCAGAGGUGGAGAGGCUGCAGAGGUCUAUGUUUACAUCUCCAUCUGGUUGGAGGCUUU
Oreochromis aureus is the source of this 1585-nucleotide long non-coding RNA. The record is from Ensembl. NCBI's taxonomy places the organism in Eukaryota, Metazoa, Chordata, Actinopteri, Cichliformes, Cichlidae.